RNAcentral lists this ribosomal RNA (413 nucleotides) under uncultured bacterium. RNAcentral describes it as "bacterial SSU rRNA". It matches the Rfam family "Bacterial small subunit ribosomal RNA", at positions 29 to 437 of the family's 1533-position model. The record is from RNAcentral.
AAUGAACGCUGGUGGCAGACCUAACACAUGCAAGUCGAACGGUCUAUAUUAAACUUCGGUUUUUUAUAGAUAGUGGCAAACGGGUGAGUAAAGCAUGGGAAUCUACCUAGAAGUUUGGAAUAGCUAUUAGAAAUGAUAGAUAAUACCAAAUACACCUCGAGAGGGAAAGUUGACUUCGGUCUUCGCUUUUAGAUGAGCCCAUGUUAAAUUAGUUAGUUGGUAGGGUAAUAGGCCGUACCAAGAUGAUGAUUAUAGCUGGUCGUUAGUAGGAUGAUCAGCCACAACUGGAAUUAGAGAUACGGUCCAGACUCCUACGGGAGGCAGCAGUGGGGAAUAUUGGGACAAUAGGGCGCAAGCCGUGAUCCAGUCAUGCCACGUGAGUGAUGAAGGUCUUAGGAUUGUAAAACUCUUUU